Molecule: long non-coding RNA, 214 nt
Filed under: Mytilus galloprovincialis (Mediterranean mussel)
Lineage: Eukaryota; Metazoa; Mollusca; Bivalvia; Mytilida; Mytilidae
Source: RNAcentral
GUGGCUAACUGGACUUCAGAUCACACCGGUGUGUUUGUAAAGGUGGCUAACUGGACUUCACACCGUAGAGAUUUUAUGGCUCAGUCUGUUGUUUUCUAUGUUGUAUUUUAUGUACUUUUGUGUGUACGCUCGUCUUUCUUUAUAUUUUUUUUUCAUGUUUUGCCAUGGCGUUAUUAGUUUAUGUUUCGACAUUUGACUUUGAAUAUGCCUUUUG